This 1247-nucleotide ribosomal RNA is filed under the name Cutibacterium acnes HL063PA2. Its description in RNAcentral is "bacterial SSU rRNA". It matches the Rfam family "Bacterial small subunit ribosomal RNA", at positions 8 to 1263 of the family's 1533-position model. The record is from RNAcentral. Lineage: Bacteria; Bacillati; Actinomycetota; Actinomycetes; Propionibacteriales; Propionibacteriaceae.
AGAGUUUGAUCCUGGCUCAGGACGAACGCUGGCGGCGUGCUUAACACAUGCAAGUCGAACGGAAAGGCCCUGCUUUUGUGGGGUGCUCGAGUGGCGAACGGGUGAGUAACACGUGAGUAACCUGCCCUUGACUUUGGGAUAACUUCAGGAAACUGGGGCUAAUACCGGAUAGGAGCUCCUGCUGCAUGGUGGGGGUUGGAAAGUUUCGGCGGUUGGGGAUGGACUCGCGGCUUAUCAGCUUGUUGGUGGGGUAGUGGCUUACCAAGGCUUUGACGGGUAGCCGGCCUGAGAGGGUGACCGGCCACAUUGGGACUGAGAUACGGCCCAGACUCCUACGGGAGGCAGCAGUGGGGAAUAUUGCACAAUGGGCGGAAGCCUGAUGCAGCAACGCCGCGUGCGGGAUGACGGCCUUCGGGUUGUAAACCGCUUUCGCCUGUGACGAAGCGUGAGUGACGGUAAUGGGUAAAGAAGCACCGGCUAACUACGUGCCAGCAGCCGCGGUGAUACGUAGGGUGCGAGCGUUGUCCGGAUUUAUUGGGCGUAAAGGGCUCGUAGGUGGUUGAUCGCGUCGGAAGUGUAAUCUUGGGGCUUAACCCUGAGCGUGCUUUCGAUACGGGUUGACUUGAGGAAGGUAGGGGAGAAUGGAAUUCCUGGUGGAGCGGUGGAAUGCGCAGAUAUCAGGAGGAACACCAGUGGCGAAGGCGGUUCUCUGGGCCUUUCCUGACGCUGAGGAGCGAAAGCGUGGGGAGCGAACAGGCUUAGAUACCCUGGUAGUCCACGCUGUAAACGGUGGGUACUAGGUGUGGGGUCCAUUCCACGGGUUCCGUGCCGUAGCUAACGCUUUAAGUACCCCGCCUGGGGAGUACGGCCGCAAGGCUAAAACUCAAAGGAAUUGACGGGGCCCCGCACAAGCGGCGGAGCAUGCGGAUUAAUUCGAUGCAACGCGUAGAACCUUACCUGGGUUUGACAUGGAUCGGGAGCGCUCAGAGAUGGGUGUGCCUCUUUUGGGGUCGGUUCACAGGUGGUGCAUGGCUGUCGUCAGCUCGUGUCGUGAGAUGUUGGGUUAAGUCCCGCAACGAGCGCAACCCUUGUUCACUGUUGCCAGCACGUUAUGGUGGGGACUCAGUGGAGACCGCCGGGGUCAACUCGGAGGAAGGUGGGGAUGACGUCAAGUCAUCAUGCCCCUUAUGUCCAGGGCUUCACGCAUGCUACAAUGGCUGGUACAGAGAGUGGCGAGCCUGUGAGGG